CUUUCUGCGGGAGCUCGCUGCCGGCGCCCAGGUGUCCUGACACGCCCCGCAAGGUUCCACGCUUUGUUCUCUAUCCUGCCCUCGUUUUGCAUGUAGUCUGCGUGACUUGGGCCUCUAUCUUUCCUACGGCUGCAUCCCUCAGUCCUGCGUUCAUGUCACCGUAGUGUGGAGAUGGCAUUCGGGACAAUGUGCUGUGACCUCGCACUGACGCCAUUCCCUUCCCACCCCGCCAACCUGGCUUCCUCCUCCACCCCAUGGAAUAAACCAGAUGGCUGCCAGUGGGAGGGAAAUAGGGCCCCAAGGUUAAUGAGGCAGUCCCUUACAUUUAUGGGUGGAAUUUCUGUUUCUAUGAUGAAUGUAUGGAUUUUGGAUGACCGCCUCUUAAGGUGAUACUUAAGGUGAUACUAUAUAGAGAUCCAUCCAGUUUCGGGGAAGACAUAUAUAUAUACACAUACACACAGUUAAUAUUAAAAAGAUGAUGUGCUAAAUCCUAUAUAAAUGCGGAAUCUAUAACAGAGAGGAGGGGCAAAAGGUGUACACAGGCUAUGAAAACGUUUGGUGGAGCAGGGCCCUGAGCUGGCCCUUUAAAAAUGGAUAGGAUUCGUUAAGACCCUUGUCUGAAUUGGUAGAGCCUUCCAGAGUUCUGAAAAUGAUCAGGGGGGUCGUUUUGCAGACAAAAUCCGUUAAGAAUUACUGUGAAAACCUGGAAGCCUAAAGUUUUAAGAUAUGUCAAAUUAUUUUUCAGGUGACCUGUACUGUCAAAUAGUACUACAUUUAUCAGACGUAUAUAAUCCAAAAUAAUUUGUCCACCUAUAAAACGCUAAUUUACCUCGGAAUUCUCUUGCAGAUGUUCACACAAUUUAUGGCACACCAGCGGGUAAAUGUUUGUUGCUUUAAAUGUUUUAUCGAAAAGAAUUUGUGUUUGGGGAACUCAAAUGAUGCAGCUUGAAUUAGUCUCCAGGGAUAAAUCCAUAGGAUCCUGAAUUUCUUCAGUUUUAACACUCAACACACUUUAAUGUAAUUACUACUUUUAAUACACUGUCUUCCCUGCUAUACUCUAAGCUCUGAGGGAGCAGAGACCUUGUUGUGUGGAUUCCCAGCACCUGGCAUGCUGCCUUGAUGCAUAGCAGACACUCAUUAAGUAUUGCUCAACCAGGAAUGAAUGAUCAAGCGUUGAAUUUGUGCCUAUGUGGAACCUAUGACCUAUCUUUAUACUUCCUUGUUUUCAACUUUUUAAUUAAUAAACAAACAAGGGAAGUGUGCCCCAGGGAACACUAGAGCUGGUUAAACUAGCCUCUGCUAAUAUUUGAAUACCUCUGUGGCUCAGGCAGUUUUUAGUGUUUUGGCAAAAUCUGAAUGUCACCGAACCCUGAAAUUUAUUGAUGUUGUCUCCUAAUAUGUCUGUUUUAGCUUUCUAAAUAAUUCAUUUAAACAAUGCAGGCGGUAGAGUGGAAAGGACCCUAAACUAAGCUUCAGGGUACCCUGGGUUCUUCUCCGAAGGCUAUUGCUCAUUUUACUUCUUUGAGCCUUUGUUUCUUAAUGUGUAAGGAGAAAGGGAUGGACUAGGUCAUUGCUGAGGUUCUUUUUAGCUCUAAGCCUCCACUAUCCCCUCAGUUCCUUGCAGGAACGUAAUUCUGGGGCAUACAACACUAUCUCACUCCUCACUUCCCACACACAACCUCCCCUUCCGCUGGGCCCCAUUCAGGGUCUGUGUUUUCCAUACAGUUUUCCAUAUCACCAUACAGCUGGUGAUAGGUAAAAAUAGUUUUUUUCUGACUAUGAGACAAAUUGACUGAAAGCUGUCAGGAGAGCUUGCCCUUCAAGUUGUCUUUCCAUUAAUGAUGAUGGGUUUAAUGAUUCCAUCCGGAUUCUUUCUGGUUUCGCUCAUGACUGCAUGCCAACCCAAAGGGAAGAAAUAUAGAAACCCUGACAAAAGGUCUAUGGACUGACUGGUGUAACGUAAACAUGAUCAAAUGUAAACCUAGAACUUUGAGAAUGAGUGUCAAAACACCACCCAAGUGGCCUGGAAUUUAGGAGACUAUUUGACAUUUCGUCACUUACAGUAAUUAAACUGGGAGACUUCAGGGGACCUGGCAUUUCAGACAUGAAAAGAAGGAAGAAAAGCUAUGUGGACUGAGAAUGGACUCACAGUGUGAAUUCAGGGAAUUUCUGUGGGUAGAACGCAAGGUCCGAUGGUUUAUAGAAAAAGUUUCAGAGUUUUAUUUAUUAUUAAAACAACAUUAAGAAAUGUUUCAACAGGAAAAUUUUUUUUCACUCCCUUUCUUACAAAUUAACGCAUUUUCAUUUGCCUCGAUUUAUUUCAAUCAGUAACCAUAUGGUCAGUAAGUAUUUUAUUUCUCAAUUUUAAGAUCUUUGUGGUCAGGUCAAGAUAUUGUUAGAAAUAAUGUAAAGACAAUGGAAUAUUACUUAGCAGUAAAAAGAAACAAAAUUGAGUUAUUUGUAGUGAGGUGGAUGGACCUAGAGUCUGUCAUACAGAGUGAAGUAAGUC
This 2509-nucleotide long non-coding RNA is filed under the name Phocoena sinus (vaquita). RNAcentral's name for it is "lncRNA (ENSPSNG00000004697.1)". Lineage: Eukaryota; Metazoa; Chordata; Mammalia; Artiodactyla; Phocoenidae. The record is from RNAcentral.